UGUGGGAGCGGGCUUGCUCGCGAUUGCAGUGUGUCAUUCAGCAUAGAUGUCGACUGUUGCACCGCAAUCGCGAGCAAGCCCGCUCCCACA
RNAcentral lists this unclassified non-coding RNA (90 nucleotides) under Pseudomonas migulae. The record is from RNAcentral. Lineage: Bacteria; Pseudomonadati; Pseudomonadota; Gammaproteobacteria; Pseudomonadales; Pseudomonadaceae.